CCGGCCCGUCAGACGCUGAUGCUUUCGCCUGGAGGCUCUUCCUCGGCGGGCUUCUCCCUCAUCCCGCGAAGCCUCCUCGUCCUUGCUGUUUCUCUGCCCUUCUUAAAGCCUGGGAAAACCUAGUCCUCCUCUCUUCUCGUCCUGUUCUUUCGCUCUUUUUUUUUUUUUUUUCCCUUUCCUUUUUCUUUUCUUCUUGAUAAUUAUGUCUUUCAGUCCUGGAUUUAAGACCUUGAUUGAUUUAUUCCGCCCACUCCUUUCCUCCCCACCACUUUUCUUCUGGCCUCCUAAAGUCUGAUCUCACACGUUUCAAGGUCUAUUCCUAGAAACACCACUUUCAUUGUCUUGGCAAGAUGGCUCUAGAAGUCCUCAGUGUGACUUCAGUAAGUGAUUUGUACUGGUUUCUAGCCACAUCUCUACUUAGCAAAAGUAUUAUAAAACUACUAAAAUGGGAAUCCCAGUAGUACAGAUAAGGAAGGCUGAAACAAGGGGAAGCCAAAAGUUUCCAAGUGAGUUUAGUUUUGAUACGAGAAGGUCUGUUAAUUCAUCAUAACAUCCACUACACUGACGCCACAGUGCCAUUUAUUUCUCUGCUCCCCACUCACAGCCUGUGUCCCAGCACUACGGCUAUGGACACACCGUGGCUCUUUGCUUGUGCCUGACCUAACGAGCCCCGUAGGACCUGGAGCUCUAUGGAGCAGUUUGGACUCGCACCAGACUACCAGUUCUUGCCUGCCAGCUUUGGACACCAUGUUUCUCUUUGAGUGUUCAAAGCCUGUGUCCUCCUGAGGCAGUAUCCUGUGUGAAUACUGCAUUCUGAAGGACAGGUCUCAGAUAAUGCCCUUCAGGUAGGAUGCAUGCCAGGAAAAGGAACACAACUUCAGCUCCUGCAAAUCUAUCACUAAUUCUGCCUGUUGGGUGAUGACAGUUGGGGUAAUGUUUUUAAAGACAUUCCUCACUAAUUGUAAUCCCACUAUCUGACUGAAGAAAGGUGGUUGAAUACUGUGUUCUUACACAUUUCUGCCCAUGAAACUAAUAUAACCUUUUCUGCAAACUAACACAUCUCUUCCUCUGGUUUCUUUAUCUGUAACUAUUGUGGAAACAAAAAACUAUAAAACACCAUUCUCUCAGUUUUAGAAGAUCCGAGCAAAGGCUGCAGGAAACUUGUCACAGACUCGAUGUCAGACAUAAAAGUAUAGAUAGCUAUGCUGUUCACCUGAAAGCAAGACAAUUUUG
This 1233-nucleotide long non-coding RNA is filed under the name Cyanistes caeruleus (blue tit). RNAcentral's name for it is "lncRNA (ENSCCEG00000002045.1)". The record is from RNAcentral. Lineage: Eukaryota; Metazoa; Chordata; Aves; Passeriformes; Paridae.